UUAAAUAUCUACAUUGGUUGGGUGGCAACGCUAGAAUAUACUAGAUUGAGACAUGGAAUUAUUUAGUCACAAUUUCUGGUAACACUGGGUUGGAAAAUCGCUUAAUCCCGUCAUGGCGAAAACGGCGCCCUCUCGCAGCUGCCGCGCUCGUCUCGUCCUGGGUGUGGAAGCGGGUUGGAGCAUCAUCCGUGCUCGCAUUGUUGUGUGUAUAAUGCGAGUACAUUGCACUGGCGCCCAUUGGAGGUUGUGUGUAGCGGCCGCCGUCUAUGAGAGUGGACUGUGCAUCGCGCUGCGUGUGCCUCAUGGGACAGUGCGAGUGUGCCAGUUUUGUAUGUGGACUGUAAUGGAGGCAACAAGGGAAAAGUGUUGCUGAAGCAUUGUGCCUUGACUGGCAAGUACGUGCGCGACGCGCAAGGUGUGCGUCUGAGCGAUCGUCCGUAGCCCCAUCGUCCACCAUGCGCUCCAGCAUUAGGCGAGUUCGCUCCAGGCCGUGGGUUAGCGCAGCUUCGUCGUUUUCGCGUGCAUGUGAGGUCUGCAACUCGUCUGCAAUUUGUGGCCGUCGUGUGGGCGCAGGUGGCUGGAGUGGGCUGCGUGGGUGGCAGUACUCGUGACGUUUUCAAACGCUGGCGAAAGCAGUGGCUGGACAGAGUCCUGUUGUGCGGCUUCGUGCGUCUUGUAGUGGCUGUCGUUCGACUGUUGGGGCGUAGUCGGGUAUGAUCAUCUGCUGUAUACCUGGGUGCUGGCCCUGGAUGAGCUCAAUUACGUAUUCUCUGGUGGCGGGCGUCUCGUUUGCUGCUGCUCUACUGUUGAGAUGUCGGGAACAAUAAUCUGUUGGAUGGCUGGCGGUUGGCCUUGGAUGAUAUCAACAGCUCGAUCCCUGGCGGGCCUUCAUUGAGCUGGCGCAUAUAUCUUUGCGCCUCAUUCUCAGCGAGCCUUAUGGAUGCUCUGGCAUCCAGCUCUUCCUCCUCUAGACGCAAUAGAGUUGGCAGGGAUGUCAGGAAACUUUGUCGCUGGAGUUGCGCGGAGUCUCGACUGGUGCUCUGGACUGGCUCGUGGUUGUCGCGUGGUAGAUGACGCUGUAGAGGGUACAUAUGACGCGCCAGU
Drosophila albomicans is the source of this 1104-nucleotide long non-coding RNA. RefSeq lists it as uncharacterized. The transcript has 6 exons. The record is from RefSeq and is a predicted model, not a curated record. Lineage: Eukaryota; Metazoa; Arthropoda; Insecta; Diptera; Drosophilidae.